RNAcentral lists this ribosomal RNA (368 nucleotides) under uncultured Glomeromycotina. RNAcentral describes it as "partial 28S ribosomal RNA". Lineage: Eukaryota; Fungi; Glomeromycota. The record is from RNAcentral.
GUCAACAUCCUUAACGAAUGUAAUCACGUUCUAACCUGUUGAACGUUAUCUUAGAUGACCGUAAGCACGCUUUCGGCACCUGAGCAACUUUCAGAGGCCAGACGGAUAGCCCAAAGGGUAUUCGUUGCAAUCCUCAGUCUCAAUCACCACAUCUACCAGAGGCUGUAACACUUCAACCGAAAUCGAAGCUACAUUCCGCCGGUCAUUUUAUGAUAAUCGAAACUGACGUUGGCCUACCAUACGAAAAAGUACACCCAAAACGCACAAACAUGCAAACAGCGAGGCCGAAACUCACGCACGCCCACAGGUUCGCACACGAUAAGUUGAUUUCUCGUCGGUACGACUGACUUCAAUCGUUUCCCUUUCAA